This 110-nucleotide non-coding RNA is filed under the name Tetragenococcus muriaticus 3MR10-3. Its description in RNAcentral is "Enterococcus sRNA 68 (Lacto-3 RNA)". It matches the Rfam family "Enterococcus sRNA 68 (Lacto-3 RNA)". Rfam says of the family: Name 'Ref' stands for RNA in E. faecalis. Lineage: Bacteria; Bacillati; Bacillota; Bacilli; Lactobacillales; Enterococcaceae. The record is from Rfam by way of RNAcentral.
UGCGAUGAGCCGAGUAGUCGACGAUGAGUCGACUUUCUCUAAACAGCGGCAUAUGAGAAUAACUCACCUGCCGGAUUGCAGGAUGCUGGCGAAAUAUUCUUGUGGAUGAA